AUUGAACGCUGGCGGCAGGCCUAAUACAUGCAAGUCGAGCGGAUGAAGGGAGCUUGCUCCUGGAUUCAGUUGCGGACGGGUGAGUAAUGCCUAGGAAUCUGCCUGGUAGUGGGGGAUAACGUCCGGAAACGGGCGCUAAUACCGCAUACGUCCUGAUGGAGAAAGUGGGGGAUCUUCGGACCUCACGCUAUCAGAUGAGCCUAGGUCGGAUUAGCUAGUUGGUGGGGUAAAGGCCUACCAAGGCGACGAUCCGUAACUGGUCUGAGUGGAUGAUCAGUCACACUGGAACUGAGACACGGUCCAGACUCCUACGGGAGGCAGCAGUGGGGAAUAUUGGACAAUGGGCGAAAGCCUGAUCCAGCCAUGCCGCGUGUGUGAAGAAGGUCUUCGGAUUGUAAAGCACUUUAAGUUGGGAAGAAGGGAAGUAAGUUAAUACCUUGCUGUUUUGACGUUACCAAAAGAAUAAGCACCGGCUAACUUCGUG
This 484-nucleotide ribosomal RNA is filed under the name uncultured bacterium. RNAcentral describes it as "partial 16S ribosomal RNA". It matches the Rfam family "Bacterial small subunit ribosomal RNA", at positions 30 to 507 of the family's 1533-position model. The record is from RNAcentral.